RNAcentral lists this ribosomal RNA (249 nucleotides) under uncultured bacterium. Its description in RNAcentral is "partial 16S ribosomal RNA". It matches the Rfam family "Bacterial small subunit ribosomal RNA", at positions 57 to 305 of the family's 1533-position model. The record is from RNAcentral.
GCAAGUCGAGGGGCAGCAUGGGACUUCGGUCCUGAUGGCGACCGGCGCACGGGUGAGUAACGCGUACACGACCUACCUUUAAGUGGGGGAUAGCCUUGGGAAACUAAGAUUAAUACCCCAUAGUAUUGCAAUAUCUAAAAGUUGCAAUUAAAGUUCAGGCGCUUAAAGAUGGGUGUGCGUCCCAUUAGCUAGUUGGUAAGGUAACGGCUUACCAAGGCGACGAUGGGUAGGGGGCGUGAGAGCGUGACC